Long non-coding RNA from Cydia pomonella (codling moth), 2410 nucleotides. RefSeq lists it as uncharacterized. The record is from RefSeq and is a predicted model, not a curated record. NCBI's taxonomy places the organism in Eukaryota, Metazoa, Arthropoda, Insecta, Lepidoptera, Tortricidae. The transcript has 8 exons.
AAAACGUAGUGAUCAGUCUUUGGCAACUCCUUUGUUGACAAGAAAUGUUUGACGAAAGAGUUCCCAAGUUGACAACAUACCGGACGGGAGCCAGAAAUAUCAACUUAACAUUAAUACGCACAUACGAGCGGCAACCAUUUUGAAAUAUAAAUCCAACUGCAUUGAUUCGUGUGUCAAAUAAUAACAAAUUUAUAACGUUGAGAUUUUCUUUUCCUUUAUAUUAUUGUGCGUGUCCAGACUGUUUUAAUAUAGUAAAAAUGGUUGGCAAAAGCCGAUAUUGUGAGAUAUGCGGCGUGAGAGAAAUUUUCAGAGAAGGCUUCUUUGCCAAAUUUCCCAAGGAUAAACUGCGGUAAGUCAACCAGUUCCUAAUUACAACUAGGGAAUAAAUCAAAUUACUUUAUUAAACAUUUUGAUUUGUUAGUCGCGUAAGCUGAAGGCGGUUCGAAUCCGCCACUCCGUAAUGCCGUAAGGGAUUCAUAUACUUAGGAGCAGCAAGCACGGACUGCUCGCCCUUAGAGUUGGUUAAAGACUUUUCAGUCGUAACUAAUUGUUUUUUGCUAUGUUUGCUAACAGUAAAUCUCUUCCAGUUGUUAUAAUGGAUAUAUAUAGUUUUAGGAAAUAAUAGGUUCCAAUAUCAUUAUCUCUUUAAACUCUAUUUCUGUUAGUACACUAUCUUUUAUUACUUACCUACUACAAAAGCUUUGAUGUAAUUCACUGUAAUUUUUGGUGGCUAUAUCUGAAGUACUUAUUGAACCCAUUUGGGUUCUAAUCAAUUUAAAAUACUAUCUUCGUCUUAUGUUUGUAAUAAUUGUACUACAUAUUAACUUCUUAUGCAUCUUUGUACCUCUCAAUAGUGUGUCAGUAUAUUAUUUGCUCACAGGUGUAUAACUUGGCUUAGACAAGUUGGAAAAGAAGAUCUCAUUCACGUACCCAUUGAAAAAUUGCAUGAGCUUCGUCAUGUUUGUGGUGACCACUUUGACCGGAGAGACUUUGGGAAGACAGGAAAUAAGCUUAAAAAAAGAGCCUAUCCAAAGUUAAAUCUUUCUGCACCUCCACUGUCAGAACAUCAAUUAACAGGAUUUCCUCAACAUGUUGCAAGUAGACAAGGUGCACACCAGAGCCAUGCACUUUUACAUGCCAGGAUACCUCUCUCGACAUCUAGCACUGAAAAUGGUGCACACCAGAGCCAUGCACCUUUACAUGCCAGGAUACCUCUCUCGACAUCGAGCACUGAAAAUGCUUUGGUACCAGCGAGACGCGGAUCUAGUGAUACUCUAGUUCUUACUCUAGCACCACCUAUAUUCUGUCAACUCCAUCUUGUGAGAGGGACGAGAUCGCGGCGACGACGUCGCGGAGCUCGUGCCCCUCAGUGUCCUGCAGGAGGACACUGGCUUCUAUGAGUACAUGUUUAAAAGUAAUUGCCUACGAAAGGAGUGCCUAGCGUCCGUUGGCUCGUUGGGUGGACGACAUUCGGAAGACUGCGGGUCACUUCUGGAUGAGACUGGCUCGGGACCGGGAUAAGUGGCGUACUAGAAGAGAGGCCUAUGCUCAGCAGUGGGCGAUAAAAGGCUGAUAUGAUGAUGAUGAUGAAUUGUAUUAAAUCAUUGGUGAAAAGCAAAUUAAAAACUUGCUAAAAAUAGCAAAGUUUAGUAAGAACAAAGACCUGAAGGAAACUUCGCAAGCUGAGAUUAGAGAGAAGUGUUUAAGAUUAUAUGGAAACUUUGGUACCAGCGAAACGCUCCCCGUCUUGCUGACAACCUGGAUCUAGUGAUACUCUAGUUCUUACUUCUGAUAAUCGAAAAACGAAGCAAGCAAAUCACAAGACUGAUGAUUACAAUACAACGAAGAAAGCAUUGCUGAAGAAGCUCAAGAAAGUGAAAACGAGUUUACUUUAUAAGUUUUUGCCUAAUAAGUAGGACUUUAACUAGACAAAUUGAUUUUUAUAAAUCCAUCUUUACAACAUGGUAUCUAUGCUUACCAUAAGGUGUACAGAUGAAGUAGGAUGAGUGAUUUAGUAAGCCUAAUAAAAAAGUAACCCAGAACUGCCAUAACUAAUUAAUUACUAAUUACUUAGAAGUUAGAAUACAGAUUCAGGAUCAUUUAUAUCUUGUUGAAAAUUAAUAUAUUUUAUAUCUGGGAGACCGAGUUUUGAUCGGAACAGUGUUGGCCGAAAGUUAAUUGCAAUUAACCAUUGUUGGCUCGGAAAACAUAAAAACAAAAAAAAAUGCACGUUCUCCCAGAGAUAAGACCUUGCUAGAACAAUUUUUCCCCUUGUUCCUCGUACAUAACCCAGUUACAUUACCAGCAAUGUACAAGGAAAAAUGAUUCCUCGCACAAAACCGGGUAAUGUAUUAAGAAAUAUUUUUGCUUUGUACAUUACCGUUAACAUUUCCAGUUUUGUACGAGGAUG